UUUGCCCAAUGCACACUACUAUACUUUACACGUUAUCAACAACAACAAAAAUCCCAGGAAAAUUUAGCUGUAUCCUGAGCUUGUUUCCACUGAUUGUUGGUAACUAUAAGGUGUAGAGAGCAUUGCAGCUUCAGCUACAAGUGCUUCUUCCCCCUUACCAGUUGGAUAGACCUGUGUUUUUUCCAAAUCAAGGAAUCUUCAGUUGAUAGAGCAUCUGGAGACAGAAUGGCCCUUGUGCCGAAGAAAUGUGGAAUAAGGGUGGAUCCGCCAACCCUCAUUGUGACGUACAUCGAUGAACGGUCGGGGAAGAAACGCCAGAGGUCAUUGCCACUUCGUAAAUUCACCAAGCAGUCCAACGUCGACGACGCCAUUCAGGAUCUGAAGUUCAAGCCCAAGCACCGGGAGCUGAUUGAACAGAUCAACCGACGGCAGCUGGAGAAGCUUCUCAGGGUCAUCCAAGAGCGGCAGGAUGGUAGAAGGCUCGAUGACGCCAUCAAGAAGGUGGAGAAAGAGAUGGAGAUUGUCAUUGACCCAAAUGAGAACCUCAACACCUUGGAUGACAGGGCCCUCAGCGAGAAGAAGGCGAUCAUGGAUGAGACCUUUGAGAAGAACCGUAAGAAGCCUGGUGAUCCUGGAUUCCAGUAUGAAGUUGAGAUUGACUUUGAGAAGGAAGGUCCACCGAUUGAAUCAAGUGGCUGGGAUUCUGAAGAAGACUCAGAUCCGUUGUUUUAGGAACAAGUGGUCAAAGACUCCCUGCUCUGUGAAAACUUGUCAAUCAAUAGAAGAUUUUUAUUUGAAUAGAGAGUAAAUGUAUUAUACUUGGAUAUAUUUCAGUAAAGGACAUAGAAGCUUUGCUAAUUGCUGACUGUAUUCAGGCCGAUUGUAUUCAGAAACGAAGCAUUUCAAAAUCAAUGGUGCUUGCUACUUUUAAUGUAUUCAUCGCUGAUGAUGGCACUACUGUAUGUUACAUUAUACCAUGUCAUUUUAUCCACAGUGGUCUAUAUUCUGAAACCUUCCAUUGCCAUAAAGUUAGACUUACAUCUUGGUUGAGCUGAAGGUCAGAAUACAGGCCGGUGUUUUAAGCCCCUACGCAAAGAAAUUAUGCUGGUAUAUUCCGAUGGUCACACAAUUUUGUAAUUAAUCUGUUUACACAGACUUCUGCUAAUUUAUCAGUUAUUGAUUCAUGUCAUGCAUAAUUUUGUUAGAACUUUUAGCCUCUUUUGACGUAUUAAUUAUCUGAUAAACCUUUAAAAUUCAUGUACGUGGAUUAUCAAAUAUAUUCUGUCUUUUGCUUUGGGCGUCUAUUUCAUUCCUUAGUUGUGUCAUCAGAAAUUUUGAAUUGUCAUAAAUUAUAACGCUGUUACUGAACUUCAUUGUUCUACAUUUUGGAGAACUUUACCUCCCCUUGGCAGGUUACAAAUUAUUUAUGACCCUGUGGCAUAACUUUGCCAUGCAAACAGGAUGCAAAAAACUCCUUUUAUUCAUGUUCCAUGGUGCAUCGAUUUGCGAUUUUGUUUUGAUAAUUUAUAUGCUGCAUAUUUUUAUAUUUUUUUUAUACCUAUCUUCUAAACUUGUGUGAUUACAUGUAAUAUAUAUCCCAAAUUAAUCAUUUGCCUAGCUUGUUUUCAGCAUGUCAUAUUCAGUAUAAUACAAAAAUGUGUCCACAAUUUACUGCAGCACAUGAAGAUAAUACCACUGAAGACAUAAAAAGAUGUCAUACAUGUACAUGUAAAUAGGGUUGUCUUCAGUUUCUUUUUUGUACUGUUAAUUUCAUCAUAAAUUCAAACAUGAUUACAGAAGUAACAAAGUUGGUUGCAAAUAUACGGUGGUGCUCAAAAAGUUGUUGGACAUGUACCAGAAAAUGAACAUAUAUUUAAAUUGUUCACGUUCUGCCAUUUUUAAAGAAAAUUAAUUGUGAAGUCAGGUGAUAAAAAAUAUUGUACUGUACAUCCAAUAGUGUAUGUACAUGUACAUGAAUCUGUGGGCUCAUUACCGGACAUUGUAGUGUUGUUUACACUCAGCACUCGGCAUGAAGGAGUGUGUAUUGUGGUGCGGUUUACCAUUACUUUUGAACAACGUGUACAGUAUUUAUUGCAAGUAAAACACCCCCAAAUGUGGCCAUCCUUUGGCAUACAGCCUACACGUAGGUGUGAUAAUGUAGCAUAUUGAGUCAGAAUGUAAUAUCAUUGUUAAUUUCAAUGUAAACAGCCUCAUUGAAUAGUGUUCUAAGUACAUGCAUUCCCAUCAAUUUUUGUUGUUGUUGAUAAUAACAGAACUUUUAUAUAUAUAUUGAGCUACAAUUUAUUUUUGUACUUUCAAUUCAAUGAUUUAUUUGAAAUGCCAUUUUAACUAAAUUGCAUAUUUCUUUUUUCUAUUAAUUUCUCCGUAUUCACAGUGUUCAAAUUUAAUUUGAGGAUUGAUGAGUUUGGAAUUUCCAGAUGAGGGACAUGUUGCAGGAAAUAUUAUGUACAAUCAAAUUCAACUAAAAAAAAAUAAACAACAUCUUGAUUUACAAGUAAUACUGUACAUGCAAGAAUUGCACAUUGUGGAUCAGUUUGAUAUUUACAUUUUUUAAAGCAUACAUCUAAUUCUUUCGCAAAGAGCCCCAGCGUAUAUUUGAUAUUGAUGAAGACAUUCAAAGCACACUCACAAAGUCAAUUUGAUUUAGUCUAGUUCAGAAUGCAAACAAAAAGAAAUUUGAUAAAUGGGUAACUGCACACUGAUUUGCUUAAUUAUGCAAGGUUGUACACUUUAAAUAUUUAACUUUCAUGUAAUAUGCACAAUGUACAGUUAUGUGUAAAAAGUUACUUUUUCUUUGAAAAAAAAAGAAAAUCAGAAGUCAAAGAGGUACACAAACUAUGUGUAAAAAUGUAAGGUUGAUCACAAUAAUUUACAACCAUAUAGUGCAAUAUUUAAUGUUGGAUGACUGAUGAUGCAGUGUAUGUACAGUACAUAAACAUGUAUCAUGCAGAGCUGCCAAGUAGUACUGAUUUUCAGUAUUUAUUACUGAAAAGU
RNAcentral lists this unclassified non-coding RNA (3015 nucleotides) under Lytechinus variegatus (green sea urchin). RNAcentral describes it as "centrosomal protein of 19 kDa-like, transcript variant X3". Lineage: Eukaryota; Metazoa; Echinodermata; Echinoidea; Temnopleuroida; Toxopneustidae. The record is from RNAcentral.